Molecule: long non-coding RNA, 3489 nt
Filed under: Homo sapiens (human)
Lineage: Eukaryota; Metazoa; Chordata; Mammalia; Primates; Hominidae
Description: HSALNT0063604
Source: RNAcentral
ACAUUUCUUGCAAGGCAGGUCUACUGGUGACAAUUUUCCUCAGUUUUGAUUUGUCUGAGAAAGUAUUUCUUCUUUUUUGAAGGAUAAUUUUACUCGGUAAAUAAUUCUAGGUUGGAAGUUUUUUCCUCCUUUAAUACUAAAUGUUUUACUCCAUUCAAUUGCAUGGUUUGUGAAGAGAAGACCAAUGACAGUCUUUUUCUUCUUCCUCUACAGGUAAGUGUUUUGUAACCAGAAUAGAGGAGGUCUCAUGGAAAUUUGAAUGGAGAAAAAUGGAGAGAGAACUCAAUCACAUGGAGUGCAGUAGGAGCCAUGUACCAAACUGAAAAGGCUGUAGUCACAUCAGACAAUAGCUGAAGAAUGUGAGAAAGAAAAAUCAAAAGCACACAAAUGAGACUGUGCAGUGAAGAGGCCACAGAGACAACCAUACUGUCUUUUUGUAUCACAAUAAGCAAAAAACAGCGUCUCAGUAUGUUGCUCAGGCUGUUCUUGAACUCCUGGGCUCAAAUCAUCUCCCACCUCAGCCUCCCAAACUGCUGGGUUUACAGGCAUGACCAACUGCACCCAGAAUACCAAGGAAAGAGGUUUAUUGAGCACGUGGUUCUCUAGGCUGGGAAGUUCAAGACUGGACAGCUGCAUCUGGAAGCUUCUGGUAAAGGCUUUGUACAGUAUGAAAAUAUAGAGAAACAGAAGGGGAAGCAGGUGUUGUUAAGAGACCAGACAUGAGAGACAGCCUCAUUUUAUAACAGCCAGGGUAACUAAAUCAGUCUGAGGAGAGCAAGAAUUUACUCUUGGAAAAAAGACAUUAACUUCUCUUAACGAUCUAAUCUUAAGGCACAAUGUCUCAACAAUGUCUCACUUGGGAACAAGCAUCAACGUGAGUUUUGAUGGGAACAAACCAUCUUCAAAUUAUAGCAGUUUACUUUUCACUCUAUUAAUUGUGUUCUUUGAUGAAUGAAAGUUUUUGAUUUUGAUCAAGGCCAAUUUAUCUAUUUCUUCUUUUUUGUUAUCUGUACUUUUUAUGUCAUACCUGUAAAAUCAUUGCCAAACUCAAUGCCAUGAAUUCUUUUAUCCAUAUUUUCUCCUAAGAGUUUUAUAUUUUAGCUCUUAUGUUUAAGUCUUUGAUACAUUUUGAGUUAAAUUUUGUACAUGGUGUAAUAUAAAUAUCCAACUUUUGCAUGUAGAUAUAUUUUCCCAAGCAAAAUUGUUGAAAAGACUGUUCUUUUCCCAUCGAAUAAUUUUGGCACACCUGUAAAAAAUAACUGGAUUAUGAAUUCAGGGGUUGAUUUCUGGACUGCCUAUUACUGCCAAUUAGUAUUUAUGCCUGUACCACACUGUUUUGAUUACUGUAGCUUUGUAAUAACUUCUGAAAUUAAGGAGCAUAAGACCUACAAGUGUGUUUUUUCUCAAGAUUGUUUUGGCUAUUCAGGUCCCUUGAGAUUCCAUGUAAACUUUAGGAUGUAUUUUUCUAUUUCUGCAAAAAACAUCAUUGAAAUUUUUAUAGGGAUUUUCACUAAAUCUAUGGAUCAUUUUAUGUAGUAUUGACAUUUUAACAUUAUUCUAAUCAGUGAAAAUGGAUUUCCAUUUAUUUAUGUCUUCUUUAAUUUCUGUCAGCUUCAUUUUAUAGUUUUUAGUGUACAUGUCUUUAGCCUGCUUGGUUACAUUUAUUUCUAAGUAAAUGAAAUUGUUUUUUAUAUUUCCUUUUCAGAUUGUUCAUUAUUAGUGAACAAUGAUAUGCAGCUAAAUUUCAUGUGUUGAUUUUGUAUUCUGCAACAUUGCUGAAUUUAAAUUAGAACUGAGCCCUAUUAGUUUUUUGCCACAUUUUUAGGAUUUUCUGUGUGUAAGAUCAUGUCUUUUAAAAGAAAUAAUUUUAGUUUUAUUUUUCCAAUUUCAAUGUAUUUCAUUUAUUUAUUUGUUGCCUAAUUUCCCUGGUGAGGAGUCUAUUAAAUAGAGGGAUGAAAGUGGGUAUCCUUACAUUGUUUGAUUCUAAGUUUCUUUUUAAAUUAUAAACACAGAAAUAAAAAUGCUGAACAUAUUUGUUUGAUUGAUGCAAUUGAAUUUUAUGUUCUAAAGGUAUGUAUUUUAUGUUUAUGUCAAUUUGCAAAAUAAUUAUAAUUGUCUUUAUUGUGGGAAUUUGGGAUCAGUUACUCAAUCAAAUGAUUGCUCAGUUCUCUAUUUUACUUCUCUCAGUAGCAAAGGUAUAACAGAAGGAGCUUGUGGAAUGCUCAUUAAGUUACAAACAGACUGGUAAUUUAACAAUGGACUGCCAAUAGAACAAUAAAGCCUGUGUAGCUUUAUUGUCUUGAUACAGCGCAUAAUUUUUGACAGAAGCAAUAGAUUUUUUUCAUUUUUCUAAAAAACUUGUUCUCAAGAUAAUAUUUGUGUAGCUCUGCAGGAAUAGACAUCAUCUGCUGAGAGGCAUUCAUAAAAAUAAAUAAUGGGGGAAUUCCCCUCCAGCCCCUAUACACACUUUCUUUGAAAAGCAGUGACCAUCACUGCAUUUGGCUUUUUUAAUUGGCACUGAUUUCCUUUUUUGGCAAAUGAAACUCAAUUUUUCAUACAAGCCAGCCUUCACUGUCUAAUCCUAAAUAUAGGGGCAGCUUUAUCACUUACAUUUGGCAUGGAAGGCUAUACAAAUCUAUUUGGCUUAUUUAAUUCACUGAAAGAGGUAAUUUUCUAAAUAACUUCUAUUGGCCUAAAGGAGGUAAGGUGCUGCCAGGUGGGUAGUUUAUUCUCAUUGGCACAAUCAUAUCAGGACAUGAACGGGAUCCUCACUCUGGGUUUCUAGACACACAAACAAGCAGAACAUGCAACUAAGCAAAGGGAUUUGUACUCUUUCUGUAUUGGUAAGAUUCUCUUAACCUUUGCUGUAUGGAUAUAUAUAUAUAUAUCCCUUGAACAACACAGGUUUGAACUACAAGGGUCCACUUAUACACAGAUUAUUUUUAAUCAAUAUGUUUAUUUAUUAAGGUAGAUAUGUAGCAAAUGCAUAAAAUACACAUAGAUACUAGUCUAUUUACAUGCUAAUCAAUCAUUUAUGUUAUCAGUAAGGCUUCCAGUCAAUAGUAGGCUAUAGUAGUUAAGUUUGAGGAGUCAAAAGUUAUGCAUAAAUUGUCAAUUGCAUGAGAAUUGGCACCCCAACCCCAACAUUGUCCAAUGGUCAAAUGUAUAUAAAUAUAUAUAAAUGUAUACUGUAUAUAAAAUAAUAUUUCUGUUAUAUUAAUGAUUAGGAUUUUUAAAUGUUUGUAUUUUGAAAUAUAACACAUAUAUAUAAUGCAUAAAAUGAAUCUAUAAUGCAACAAAUUAUCACAGAAAUCAAGCAUGUAAUGCUCAUCCAAAAAAAGAAAUAGACCACAAGAAAUAGUUCUUUCUGUGCAAUCUUCACUCCAACCAUCUCCUUCCUCAUGAAAGGUAACCACUACUCUGACAUCUGAUUCUAAAGUUCAAAUUUGCCAUAGAAAUCCUUAAAUAAAUUGAAUAAUAUGUAUUCUU